UAGGGAAUCUUCCGCAAUGGACGCAAGUCUGACGGAGCAACGCCGCGUGAGUGAAGAAGGAUUUCGGUUCGUAAAACUCUGUUGUUAGAGAAGAACAGCGCAUAGAGUAACUGUUAUGCGUGUGACGGUAUCUAACCAGAAAGCCACGGCUAACUACGUGCCAGCAGCCGCGGUAAUACGUAGGUCCCGAGCGUUGUCCGGAUUUAUUGGGCGUAAAGCGAGCGCAGGCGGUCAAUUAAGUCUGAUGUGAAAGCCCCCGGCUCAACCGGGGAGGGUCAUUGGAAACUGGUUGACUUGAGUGCAGAAGAGGAGAGUGGAAUUACAUGUGUAGCGGUGAAAUGCGUAGAUAUAUGGAGGAACACCAGUGGCGAAGGCGACUCUCUGGUCUGUAACUGACGCGGAGGCUCGAAAGCGUGGGUAGCAAACAGG
Molecule: ribosomal RNA, 429 nt
Filed under: Bacteroidota bacterium
Lineage: Bacteria; Pseudomonadati; Bacteroidota
Description: Bacteroidetes bacterium partial 16S ribosomal RNA
Rfam family: Bacterial small subunit ribosomal RNA
Source: RNAcentral